RNAcentral lists this ribosomal RNA (1238 nucleotides) under Haptophyta environmental samples. Its description in RNAcentral is "SSU rRNA". It matches the Rfam family "Eukaryotic small subunit ribosomal RNA", at positions 427 to 1831 of the family's 1831-position model. Lineage: Eukaryota; Haptophyta. The record is from RNAcentral.
AGCAGGCGCGUAAAUAGCCCGAAUCCUGACACAGGGAGGUAGUGACAAGAAAUAACAAUACAGGGCUACUUCUAGUCUUGUAAUUGGAAUGAGUACAACUUACAUCUCUUCACGAGGAUCAAUUGGAGGGCAAGUCUGGUGCCAGCAGCCGCGGUAAUUCCAGCUCCAAUAGCGUAUAUUAGAGUUGUUGCAGUUAAAAAGCUCGUAGUCGGAUUUCGGGUCGGGCCGAGCGGUCUGCCGAUGGGUAUGCACUGUUCGGCGCGGCCUUCUUUCCGGAGACCGCGGCUACUCUUAACUGAGCGGGCGUGGGAGACGGAUCGUUUACUCUGAAAAAAUCAGAGUGUUUCAAGCAGGCAGCUCGCUCUUGCAUGGAUUAGCAUGGGAUAAUGAAAUAGGACUCUGGUGCUAUUUUGUUGGUUUCGAACACCGGAGUAAUGAUUAACAGGGACAGUCAGGGGCACUCGUAUUCCGUCGAGAGAGGUGAAAUUCUCAGACCAAUGGAAGACGAACCACUGCGAAAGCAUUUGCCAGGGAUGUUUUCACUGAUCAAGAACGAAAGUUAGGGGAUCGAAGACGAUCAGAUACCGUCGUAGUCUUAACCAUAAACCAUGCCGACUAGGGAUUGGAGGGUGUUCGUUUUGACCUCUUCAGCACCUUACGGGAAACUAAAGUCUUUGGGUUCCGGGGGGAGUAUGGUCGCAAGGCUGAAACUUAAAGGAAUUGACGGAAGGGCACCACCAGGAGUGGAGCCUGCGGCUUAAUUUGACUCAACACGGGGAAACUUACCAGGUCCAGACAUUGGAAGGAUUGACAGAUUGUGAGCUCUUUCUUGAUUCGAUGGGUGGUGGUGCAUGGCCGUUCUUAGUUGGUGGAGUGAUUUGUCUGGUUAAUUCCGUUAACGAACGAGACCUUAGCCUGCUAAAUAGUUCCGGUAACUUCUUGUUGGCGGUCAACUCCUUAGAGGGACAACUUGUGAACAACAAGUGGAAGUUUGAGGCAAUAACAGGUCUGUGAUGCCCUUAGAUGUUCUGGGCCGCACGCGCGCUACACUGAAGCAUUCAACGAGUCCACCUCGACCGACAGGUCUGGGAAACCUUUUGAAAUUGCUUCGUGAUGGGGAUAGAUUAUUGCAACUAUUAAUCUUCAACGAGGAAUUCCUAGUAAGCGCAUGUCAUCAGCGUGCGUUGAGGCCGAUCCAGCACAGCUUGGGCGCGCGCGCGUUAUCAUUAUGUGUGAUC